Molecule: unclassified non-coding RNA, 319 nt
Filed under: uncultured Aspergillus
Lineage: Eukaryota; Fungi; Ascomycota; Eurotiomycetes; Eurotiales; Aspergillaceae
Description: sequence contains ITS1
Rfam family: 5.8S ribosomal RNA (bases 1-103)
Source: RNAcentral
GAAAUGCGAUAAAUAUUGUGAAUAGCAGAAUCGUGAAUCAUCGAAUCUUUGAACGCACAUUGCGCCCGCUGGUAUUCCGGGGGGCAUGCCUGUCCGAGCGUCAUUGCUGCCCUCAAGCACGGCUUGUGUGUUGGGCCCCCCCCGUCCCGGUUCUCCAGCCGGGACGGGCCCGAAAGGCAGCGGCGGCACCGUGUCCGGUCCUCGAGUGUAUGGGGCUCUGUCACCCAAUCGUGUAGGCCCGGCCGGCGGCCAGCCUCUUCAACCAAACUUCUUUAACCAGGUUGACCUCGGAUCAGGUAGGGAUACCCGCUGAACUUAA